This 427-nucleotide ribosomal RNA is filed under the name Bacillus licheniformis. RNAcentral describes it as "bacterial SSU rRNA". It matches the Rfam family "Bacterial small subunit ribosomal RNA", at positions 39 to 455 of the family's 1533-position model. Lineage: Bacteria; Bacillati; Bacillota; Bacilli; Caryophanales; Bacillaceae. The record is from RNAcentral.
AGAGAUGCGGGCUAUCAUGCAAGUCGAGCGGACCGACGGGAGCUUGCUCCCUUAGGUCAGCGGCGGACGGGUGAGUAACACGUGGGUAACCUGCCUGUAAGACUGGGAUAACUCCGGGAAACCGGGGCUAAUACCGGAUGCUUGAUUGAACCGCAUGGUUCAAUCAUAAAAGGUGGCUUUUAGCUACCACUUNCAGAUGGACCCGCGGCGCAUUAGCUAGUUGGUGAGGUAACGGCUCACCAAGGCGACGAUGCGUAGCCGACCUGAGAGGGUGAUCGGCCACACUGGGACUGAGACACGGCCCAGACUCCUACGGGAGGCAGCAGUAGGGAAUCUUCCGCAAUGGACGAAAGUCUGACGGAGCAACGCCGCGUGAGUGAUGAAGGUUUUCGGAUCGUAAAACUCUGUUGUUAGGGAAAACAAGGGA